RNAcentral lists this ribosomal RNA (497 nucleotides) under uncultured bacterium. Its description in RNAcentral is "partial 16S ribosomal RNA". It matches the Rfam family "Bacterial small subunit ribosomal RNA", at positions 28 to 507 of the family's 1533-position model. The record is from RNAcentral.
GAUGAACGCUGGCGGCGUGCCUAAUACAUGCAAGUCGAGCGAACAGAUGAGGAGCUUGCUUCUCUGACGUUAGCGGCGGACGGGUGAGUAACACGUGGAUAACCUACCUAUAAGACUGGGAUAACUUCGGGAAACCGGAGCUAAUACCGGAUAAUAUAUUGAACCGCAUGGUUCAAUAGUGAAAGACGGUUUUGCUGUCACUUAUAGAUGGAUCCGCGCUGCAUUAGCUAGUUGGUAAGGUAACGGCUUACCAAGGCAACGAUGCGUAGCCGACCUGAGAGGGUGAUCGGCCACACUGGAACUGAGACACGGUCCAGACUCCUACGGGAGGCAGCAGUAGGGAAUCUUCCGCAAUGGGCGAAAGCCUGACGGAGCAACGCCGCGUGAGUGAUGAAGGUCUUCGGAUCGUAAAACUCUGUUAUUAGGGAAGAACAUAUGUGUAAGUAACUGUGCACGUCUUGACGGUACCUAAUCAGAAAGCCACGGCUAACUACGUG